RNAcentral lists this ribosomal RNA (1346 nucleotides) under uncultured bacterium. RNAcentral's name for it is "partial 16S ribosomal RNA". It matches the Rfam family "Bacterial small subunit ribosomal RNA", at positions 28 to 1381 of the family's 1533-position model. The record is from RNAcentral.
GACGAACGCUUUCGGCGUGCUUAACACAUGCAAGUCGAACGGAAAGGCCCUGCUUUUGUGGGGUGCUCGAGUGGCGAACGGGUGAGUAACACGUGAGUAACCUGCCCUUGACUUUGGGAUAACUUCAGGAAACUGGGGCUAAUACCGGAUAGGAGCUCCUGCUGCAUGGUGGGGGUUGGAAAGUUUCGGCGGUUGGGGAUGGACUCGCGGCUUAUCAGCUUGUUGGUGGGGUAGUGGCUUACCAAGGCUUUGACGGGUAGCCGGCCUGAGAGGGUGACCGGCCACAUUGGGACUGAGAUACGGCCCAGACUCCUACGGGAGGCAGCAGUGGGGAAUAUUGCACAAUGGGCGGAAGCCUGAUGCAGCAACGCCGCGUGCGGGAUGACGGCCUUCGGGUUGUAAACCGCUUUCGCCUGUGACGAAGCGUGAGUGACGGUAAUGGGUAAAGAAGCACCGGCUAACUACGUGCCAGCAGCCGCGGUGAUACGUAGGGUGCGAGCGUUGUCCGGAUUUAUUGGGCGUAAAGGGCUCGUAGGUGGUUGAUCGCGUCGGAAGUGUAAUCUUGGGGCUUAACCCUGAGCGUGCUUUCGAUACGGGUUGACUUGAGGAAGGUAGGGGAGAAUGGAAUUCCUGGUGGAGCGGUGGAAUGCGCAGAUAUCAGGAGGAACACCAGUGGCGAAGGCGGUUCUCUGGGCCUUUCCUGACGCUGAGGAGCGAAAGCGUGGGGAGCGAACAGGCUUAGAUACCCUGGUAGUCCACGCUGUAAACGGUGGGUACUAGGUGUGGGGUCCAUUCCACGGGUUCCGUGCCGUAGCUAACGCUUUAAGUACCCCGCCUGGGGAGUACGGCCGCAAUGCUAAAACUCAAAGGAAUUGACGGGGCCCCGCACAAGCGGCGGAGCAUGCGGAUUAAUUCGAUGCAACGCGUAGAACCUUACCUGGGUUUGACAUGGAUCGGGAGUGCUCAGAGAUGGGUGUGCCUCUUUUGGGGUCGGUUCACAGGUGGUGCAUGGCUGUCGUCAGCUCGUGUCGUGAGAUGUUGGGUUAAGUCCCGCAACGAGCGCAACCCUUGUUCACUGUUGCCAGCACGUUAUGGUGGGGACUCAGUGGAGACCGCCGGGGUCAACUCGGAGGAAGGUGGGGAUGACGUCAAGUCAUCAUGCCCCUUAUGUCCAGGGCUUCACGCAUGCUACAAUGGCUGGUACAGAGAGUGGCGAGCCUGUGAGGGUGAGCGAAUCUCGGAAAGCCGGUCUCAGUUCGGAUUGGGGUCUGCAACUCGACCUCAUGAAGUCGGAGUCGCUAGUAAUCGCAGAUCAGCAACGCUGCGGUGAAUACGUUCCCGGGAAA